RNAcentral lists this ribosomal RNA (460 nucleotides) under uncultured bacterium. RNAcentral's name for it is "partial 16S ribosomal RNA". It matches the Rfam family "Bacterial small subunit ribosomal RNA", at positions 338 to 795 of the family's 1533-position model. The record is from RNAcentral.
CCUACGGGAGGCAGCAGUGAGGAAUAUUGGUCAAUGGGCGCGAGCCUGAACCAGCCAAGUCGCGUGAGGGAUGACGGUCCUACGGAUUGUAAACCUCUUUUGCCGGGGAGCAAGCGUGCGUUCGUGAACGCGCGUCGAGAGUACCCGUAGAAAAAGCAUCGGCUAACUCCGUGCCAGCAGCCGCGGUAAUAGGGAGGAUGCGAGCUUUAUCCGGUUUUAUUGGGUUUAAAGGGUGCGUAGGCGGAGUUCCAAGUUAGCGGUAAAAGUGCGGUGAUAAACGCCGUCGAGCCGUUGAAACUGGCGUUCUUGAGUGGGCGGAAAGUAUGCGGAAUGCGGGGUGUAGCGGUGAAAUGCAUAGAUAUCACGAAGAACUCCGAUUGCGAAGGCAGCAUACCGGAGCCCUACUGACGCUGAGGCACGAAAGCGUGGGUGUCGAACAGGAUUAGAUACCCUAGUAGUC